RNAcentral lists this transfer RNA (68 nucleotides) under Psorthaspis legata. RNAcentral describes it as "tRNA-Leu". Lineage: Eukaryota; Metazoa; Arthropoda; Insecta; Hymenoptera; Pompilidae. The record is from RNAcentral.
UUUAAUAUGGCAGAUUAGUGCAAUGGGUUUAAAUUCCAUGUAUAAAAUUUUAAGAAUUUUUAUUAAAA